GUUCAACCAAAGUAAUCAAAAACUCUCUUCUUCGAGUCUUCAAAAUCCCCAAACAAAUAGAAAAUCUGAAGAAUCACAAAUCUCCGUAAUUAGUAGGUAAUUAAAUAGCGAAUCAAUUAGUAGGUUUGCUCGAGGAGUAACGACGUCGUUGUAUCGCGAUAUGGCUGUUGCAUCUGAGGAAACCACUAACAUAUGCAGCCACUGUGACAGAGCUAUCCCUUCCUUGAAUAUUGAUUUGCAUUUUGCUCAUUGUUCUCGGAAUCUUGAAAAAUGUAAACUUUGUGGUGACAUGGUCCCAAAAAAGCAUGCUGAGGAACAUUUCUUAAACACUCAUGCCCCGGUGGCCUGUUCGCUAUGCAGUGAGACAAUGGAGCGUGAAGUUCUAGCAAUCCAUAAAGGUGAAAUUUGUCCUCAAAGGAUUGUCACAUGCGAAUUCUGCGAGUUUCCAUUGCCUGCAAUUGAUCUAGCUGA
This 471-nucleotide unclassified non-coding RNA is filed under the name Hevea brasiliensis (rubber tree). The record is from RNAcentral. Lineage: Eukaryota; Viridiplantae; Streptophyta; Magnoliopsida; Malpighiales; Euphorbiaceae.